AACUUAAAGAAGUUAGAUAGAUCUGUAGUCCCAAAGUACUUACAGAGCAAUUUAUUAAGACUUGGGUUCCUGAGAAAGUUUUAUUCUAUUACUCAGUUAUUGUCUUCAAUCUGCCAUUCACUGAAAGGUUUCUUUGGCCUUAAUUCAAUUCUCUAUCUCCUACGCUAUCAGUGUUUUUGUUGAGCACUUUUCUAUCCAGACAGAUAACAGGAUUUGGUGACAGCUUUCAAUUUCAUUACUGCUAAAACUUUUGUAGGUAUACAAUUUCUCUGUGUAGGCUGGUCCCUGACUGUGAUUUAUUUAGCUCAUUAUUUAUUGGCCUGUAAAACUGGCCCAACUCUGCAAAAUAACUCACUAAUUCUUCCCAUGUGAAAACCUCUGAAGAUAUUUAUCAACACACAUUGAUAAAAGAAGUUGUGUUUUUCCUUACUUCUUUAUCAGCAUCAUUGCUUUGCCCAUCUUUGAUGAUGGUAUUAUGAAGAAGGAUUUGCUUCUGAAGUAUAGGUAUGAUUGCUACAAAUAAAAUAUGCCUCCUACAAAUAAACAAAAACCUU
Homo sapiens (human) is the source of this 554-nucleotide long non-coding RNA. Ensembl annotates it as NCKAP5 intronic transcript 1. Its record names the gene NCKAP5-IT1. The record is from Ensembl. NCBI's taxonomy places the organism in Eukaryota, Metazoa, Chordata, Mammalia, Primates, Hominidae.